This 466-nucleotide ribosomal RNA is filed under the name uncultured bacterium. Its description in RNAcentral is "partial 16S ribosomal RNA". It matches the Rfam family "Bacterial small subunit ribosomal RNA", at positions 28 to 507 of the family's 1533-position model. The record is from RNAcentral.
GAUGAACGCUGGCGGCGUGCUUAACACAUGCAAGUCGAACGAUGAAGCCCAGCUUGCUGGGAGGAUUAGUGGCGAACGGGUGAGUAACACGUGAGUAACCUGCCCUUAACUCUGGGAUAAGCCUGGGAAACUGGGUCUAAUACCGGAUAGGAGCGUCCACCGCAUGGUGGGUGUUGGAAAGAUUUAUCGGUUUUGGAUGGACUCGCGGCCUAUCAGCUUGUUGGUGAGGUAAUGGCUCACCAAGGCGACGACGGGUAGCCGGCCUGAGAGGGUGACCGGCCACACUGGGACUGAGACACGGCCCAGACUCCUACGGGAGGCAGCAGUGGGGAAUAUUGCACAAUGGGCGCAAGCCUGAUGCAGCGACGCCGCGUGAGGGAUGACGGCCUUCGGGUUGUAAACCUCUUUCAGUAGGGAAGAAGCGAAAGUGACGGUACCUGCAGAAGAAGCACCGGCUAACUACGUG